AGCCUGAAAGUCAGCUUUAUCCUCUGCCAAAAAAAAAAAUCCCCUCCCAAUUUGUAUGUCUAGAUCAUAAAAUAAUGAGGAUACUCCGAAGCAAUUACUUUUAAGGAAGAUUGCAUGCCAAAGCACACAUUGGCAAUGCCAAAUACUCAUCUUCUGUUAGAAAGAAGCAUUUCAUCUGAGGAGGAGUAGAUAGGAGUCAUCUAGCUAUGGAGAGCCUUUUCUGCCCAAACCUUUCCAUGCUGUCUCCAUGCAGAUGAAAGGAGAGGAGAACUACAGAAAGAGCAGGACUUCAGACGUGUUUUGUUGCAACAUUUACAGCAUGUGACAUACCAGCCUGCUAAGAUGUAUUUAGGCAGUGAUGCAUAGGAACUGUGCCAGGUACAGUCAGGAGUCCACUGUGUGGAGACCUGGGAAAUGCUGACUGGGAGAGCCAUGCUCUUUAGAGUUGCAGUCUAAUUUAAGAUGUGAUUGAAGAGGUAGGAGAUGGUCCUAAGAGGACAACUGAGGGCAGGAGGCUUCCGGUACUGGGGAAACAAAGCCAAGGAAACCAGCUCUGUGCAAAAGUCUCAUGUUUUUAUUCAUUUAUUUAUCUGUGUUCUUAUGACAUUAAUUAUUAU
Long non-coding RNA from Pipra filicauda (Wire-tailed manakin), 617 nucleotides. RefSeq lists it as uncharacterized. NCBI's taxonomy places the organism in Eukaryota, Metazoa, Chordata, Aves, Passeriformes, Pipridae. The record is from RefSeq and is a predicted model, not a curated record. The transcript is spliced from 3 exons.